Molecule: ribosomal RNA, 253 nt
Filed under: uncultured bacterium
Lineage: Bacteria
Description: partial 16S ribosomal RNA
Rfam family: Bacterial small subunit ribosomal RNA
Source: RNAcentral
UACAGAGGGUGCGCGCGUUACUCGGAAUUACUGGGCGUAAAGGGCACGUAGGCGGCAAUUCAAGUCAGCUGUGAAAUCUCCGGGCUUAACUCGGAACGGUCAGCUGAUACUGCUUUGCUAGAGUGCAGAAGGGGCGAUCGGAAUUCUUGGUGUAGCGGUGAAAUGCGUAGAUAUCAAGAGGAACACCUGAGGUGAAGACGGGUUGCUGGGCUGACACUGACGCUGAGGCGCGAAAGCUAGGGUAGCAAACGGG